CAUUACAGAGUUCUGCCCUUCGGGGUAGACCUCCCACCCUUGUGUAUUUAUACCUUUGUUGCUUUGGCAGGUCGCCAGGCUCGUCCUGGCUACCGGCUUCGGUUGGUGCGUGCCUGCCAGAGGACCCCAAACUCUGAAUGUUAGUGUCGUCUGAGUACUAUAUAAUAGUUAAAACUUUCAACAACGGAUCUCUUGGUUCUGGCAUCGAUGAAAAACGCAACGAAAUGCGAUAAGUAAUGUGAAUUGCCUAAUUCAGUGAAUCAUCGAAUCUUUGAACGCACCUUGCGGCCCUUGGUAUUCCGAGGGGCAUGCCUGUUCCAGCGUCAUUACAACCCUCAAGCUCUGCUUGGUAUUGGGCACCACCCGUCAGGGUGUGGCUUAAAGACAGUGGCGGUGCCAUCUGGCUCUAAGCGUAUUAAUUCUCUCUCUAUAGGGUCCUGUGGAUGCUUGUCAGAAACCCAACUUUUUCUUAUGGUUGACCUCGGAUCAGGUAGGGAUACCCGCUAAACUUAUUUAUCUCAAUA
This 524-nucleotide ribosomal RNA is filed under the name uncultured Helotiales. RNAcentral's name for it is "eukaryotic LSU rRNA". The stretch from base 173 to 326 matches the Rfam family "5.8S ribosomal RNA". Lineage: Eukaryota; Fungi; Ascomycota; Leotiomycetes; Helotiales. The record is from RNAcentral.